UGGAGCUUGCUCCGGGUAGAUUUAGUGGCGGACGGGUGAGUAACACGUGAGCAACCUGCCUUUCAGAGGGGGAUAACGUUUGGAAACGAACGCUAAUACCGCAUAACAUCAUUUGGUGGCAUCACCAGAUGAUCAAAGGAGCAAUCCGCUGAAAGAUGGGCUCGCGCCCGAUUAGAUAGUUGGUGGGGUAAUGGCCUACCAAGUCUGCGAUCGGUAGCCGGACUGAGAGGUUGAUCGGCCACAUUGGGACUGAGACACGGCCCAGACUCCUACGGGAGGCAGCAGUGGGGAAUAUUGCACAAUGGGGGAAACCCUGAUGCAGCGACGCCGCGUGAGUGAAGACGGUCUUCGGAUUGUAAAGCUCUGUCUUCGGGGACGAUAAUGACGGUACCCGAGGAGGAAGCCACGGCUAACUACGUGCCAGCAGCCGCGGUAAUACGUAGGUGGCGAGCGUUGUCCGGAAUUACUGGGUGUAAAGGGAGCGCAGGCGGGGAGCCAAGUUGGAUGUGAAAUACCGCAGCUCAACUGCGGGGCUGCAUCCAAAACUGGUUCUCUUGAGUGAAGUAGAGGUAGGCGGAAUUCCUAGUGUAGCGGUGAAAUGCGUAGAUAUUAGGAGGAACACCAGUGGCGAA
RNAcentral lists this ribosomal RNA (632 nucleotides) under uncultured bacterium. RNAcentral describes it as "bacterial SSU rRNA". It matches the Rfam family "Bacterial small subunit ribosomal RNA", at positions 74 to 719 of the family's 1533-position model. The record is from RNAcentral.